RNAcentral lists this ribosomal RNA (253 nucleotides) under uncultured bacterium. RNAcentral describes it as "partial 16S ribosomal RNA". It matches the Rfam family "Bacterial small subunit ribosomal RNA", at positions 524 to 776 of the family's 1533-position model. The record is from RNAcentral.
UACGGAGGGGGCUAGCGUUGUUCGGAAUUACUGGGCGUAAAGCGCACGUAGGCGGCUUUGUCAGUUAGCGGUGAAAGCCCGGAGCUCAACUCCGGAAUUGCCUUUAAGACUGCAUCGCUAGAAUUGUGGAGAGGUAAGUGGAAUUCCGAGUGUAGAGGUGAAAUUCGUAGAUAUUCGGAAGAACACCAGUGGCGAAGGCGACUUACUGGACACAUAUUGACGCUGAGGUGCGAAAGCGUGGGGAGCAAACAGG